GCCCGGGUAGCUCAGCUGGUAGAGCAUUUCCAUGGUAAGGAAAAGGUCACCGGUUCAAGUCCGGUCUCGGGCUCAA
This 76-nucleotide transfer RNA is filed under the name Candidatus Moraniibacteriota bacterium. RNAcentral describes it as "tRNA-Thr". It matches the Rfam family "tRNA". Rfam says of the family: Transfer RNA (tRNA) molecules are approximately 80 nucleotides in length. Their secondary structure includes four short double-helical elements and three loops (D, anti-codon, and T loops). Lineage: Bacteria; Candidatus Moraniibacteriota. The record is from RNAcentral.